Neopsephotus bourkii (Bourke's parrot) is the source of this 445-nucleotide long non-coding RNA. RefSeq lists it as uncharacterized. The transcript is spliced from 3 exons. The record is from RefSeq and is a predicted model, not a curated record. Lineage: Eukaryota; Metazoa; Chordata; Aves; Psittaciformes; Psittacidae.
UGCUAGUAUCAGCCCCAAAAAGGCCAGGUGGCUACCUGAGCUAGUUGUAUUGGGAGUUUGCUUUGCAAAGGUACGGGAGAAUGGUAUGGGAAGGAAGAACCACGAGAGGGGGACCCUGAGCUGCUCUGGGGAUAUCACCCACUUGUUUGUUGAAGGUCAUGUAAAUCUUACAGUAAGCGAGAAACUAACACAGUGGUGAACUCUAUAGAAGUGGUGGAACUGAAUAAUGAAUGAGUAAAUGAAUGCCAAGGAAGUUUUAUCCACCCUGGAACCUGUCAGCCUGUAACAUUUUGUGCCUAAGGCAUUGCCUGGAAGUUCAGCUCCACUUUUGCCAUCAGCUCAGGUAUAGGUGGAAAAUGCUCUCUUCACAAGAACAUGUGUGCUGUACAAAAGAACCUGCAAUGGCAGAAGAAGGGAGUGUAAGUAGGAAAGUUGUGACUGAAGG